GGAGGGGCGGAGCGCAUUUCUGCUGAGAGCUCCCUGUAGCUCUUAACUGGCUGGGAGCUGGUUGGGCCUGCUGGUUACGGACCCGCUGCCCCGCGGGCGUCUGAGUUAGCCGCGGGUAGCCUUGAAAAAAAUCAAACAGAAAGGAAGACGUGCACUGUUGAAGGCUAAGAUUCUCUGACUGUGGCCCUACAUACUAGACUGACAAAAGAGAAUAACAGUUUAUUAAUGUGCAG
Molecule: long non-coding RNA, 233 nt
Organism: Acinonyx jubatus (cheetah)
Lineage: Eukaryota; Metazoa; Chordata; Mammalia; Carnivora; Felidae
Exons: 2
Source: RefSeq, a predicted model, not a curated record